This 25-nucleotide ribosomal RNA is filed under the name Arthrinium phaeospermum. RNAcentral's name for it is "partial 28S ribosomal RNA". The record is from RNAcentral. Lineage: Eukaryota; Fungi; Ascomycota; Sordariomycetes; Amphisphaeriales; Apiosporaceae. RNAcentral also lists the same sequence under 14 other names.
GGUUGACCUCGGAUCAGGUAGGAAU